Molecule: microRNA precursor, 189 nt
Filed under: Oryza brachyantha (malo sina)
Lineage: Eukaryota; Viridiplantae; Streptophyta; Magnoliopsida; Poales; Poaceae
Description: MIR812 microRNA precursor family
Rfam family: MIR812 microRNA precursor family
Source: Rfam by way of RNAcentral
AAUAAACCAAUUUUUCACUUUUUAACUAUAACUUUUAACGCUUUGUCUUAUUCAAUUUUUUUACGAUUGAUAUUUUUGUUUUUAUUGGAUGAUAAAUCAUGAAUAGUACUUUACGUGUGACUAGUUUUUUUCUAAUUUCCUAAAAUUUUUUCAAAUAAGACGGAUGAUCAAACAUUAGACAAGGAAAUC